UUGGGCGUAAAGGGUCCGCAGGCGGUCUAAUACAUCUUUCGUUAAAUCUUUCGGCUCAACCGAAAGUCCGCGAGAGAUAUGGUUAGGCUAGAGGCCGGGAGAGGUAAGCGGAAUUGUUGGUGUAGGGGUUAAAUCCGUUAAUAUCAACAAGAACACCAAAAGCGAAGGCAGCUUACUGGAACGGUUCUGACGCUCAGGGACGAAAGCGUGGGUAGCGAAUAGGAUUAGAUACCCUAGUAGUCCACGCCGUAAACGAUGAAUGCUAAGUAUUGGGAGUUUCGACCCUCUCAGUGCUGUUAUUUUAAGUUAACACGUUAAGCAUUCCGCCUGGGGAGUACGAGCGCAAGCUUAAAACUCAAAGGAAUAGACGGGGAUCCGCACAAGUGGUGGAGCAUGUGGUUUAAUUCGAUAAUAAGCGAGGAACCUCACCAAGGUUUGACAUAUAGCUGCAAGUCCUAGAAAUAGGAUCGCCUUCGAGGGUGCUAUACAGAUGCUGCAUGGUUGUCGUCAGCUCGUGUCGUGAGAUGUACCGUUAAGUCGGAAAACGAGCGCAACCCCUAUUCUAUGUUUUAUAUGUCAUAGAAAACUGCCUGCUUUAAGUGGGAGGAAGGUGGGGAUGACGUCAAAUCAGCAUGGUUCUUACACCUUGGGCUACACACGUGCUACAAUGGGAAGAACAAAGGGACGCUAAGCCGUAAGGUGGAGCAAAUCCCAUAAAUCUUCUCUCAGUUCGGAUCGAGGUCUG
RNAcentral lists this ribosomal RNA (745 nucleotides) under uncultured bacterium. RNAcentral describes it as "bacterial SSU rRNA". It matches the Rfam family "Bacterial small subunit ribosomal RNA", at positions 554 to 1307 of the family's 1533-position model. The record is from RNAcentral.